This 188-nucleotide transfer RNA is filed under the name Pectobacterium aquaticum. RNAcentral describes it as "tRNA-Thr". Lineage: Bacteria; Pseudomonadati; Pseudomonadota; Gammaproteobacteria; Enterobacterales; Pectobacteriaceae. The record is from RNAcentral.
GCUGAUGUAAGUAAAUUGGGGCAAUAUCUAUCAACACUCAUCAACUUACAUCAACAAGUGAUUUUAUUUAGUGUUAUGAUUUAUAAGGAUUGUUUUGAUUUUUAUGUGGUAGAUUAAGGGAUCAAAUAUGUGUAAACAUCGCAUUCGUAAUGCGAAGGUCGUAGGUUCGACUCCUAUUAUCGGCACCA